CCAGUCGUGGCCUAGUGGAUAGGGUGAUUGACUGGAGACCAAAAGGUCGCUGGUUUGAUCCGGCUCCAGCUCCACUGGG
Molecule: non-coding RNA, 79 nt
Organism: Danionella cerebrum
Lineage: Eukaryota; Metazoa; Chordata; Actinopteri; Cypriniformes; Danionidae
Source: the annotation of a GenBank genome assembly